GAGGGUAUAGCUCAGUGGUAGAGUAUAUGCUCAGCAUGCACGAGGUCCUGGGUUCAAUCCCCAGUAUCUCCA
Molecule: transfer RNA, 72 nt
Organism: Camelus ferus (Wild Bactrian camel)
Lineage: Eukaryota; Metazoa; Chordata; Mammalia; Artiodactyla; Camelidae
Rfam family: tRNA
About the family: Transfer RNA (tRNA) molecules are approximately 80 nucleotides in length. Their secondary structure includes four short double-helical elements and three loops (D, anti-codon, and T loops).
Source: Rfam